GCCUGGCUGGCUUAGUUGGUAAAGCAUGUGACUCUUAAUCCUGGGGUUGUGGGCUCGAGCCCCACAUUGGGUG
This 73-nucleotide transfer RNA is filed under the name Mustela putorius furo (domestic ferret). It matches the Rfam family "tRNA". Rfam says of the family: Transfer RNA (tRNA) molecules are approximately 80 nucleotides in length. Lineage: Eukaryota; Metazoa; Chordata; Mammalia; Carnivora; Mustelidae. The record is from Rfam by way of RNAcentral.